RNAcentral lists this ribosomal RNA (400 nucleotides) under uncultured bacterium. Its description in RNAcentral is "bacterial SSU rRNA". It matches the Rfam family "Bacterial small subunit ribosomal RNA", at positions 355 to 772 of the family's 1533-position model. The record is from RNAcentral.
UGGGGAAUAUUGGACAAUGGGGGAAACCCUGAUCCAGCAAUGCCGCGUGAGUGAAGAAGGCCUUCGGGUUGUAAAGCUCUUUUGUCAGGGAAGAUAAUGACGGUACCUGACGAAUAAGCUCCGGCUAACUUCGUGCCAGCAGCCGCGGUAAUACGAAGGGAGCUAGCGUUGUUCGGAAUUACUGGGCGUAAAGGGCGCGUAGGCGGCCGCGUAAGUCAGAUGUGAAAGCCCCGGGCUUAACCUGGGAACUGCAUUUGAUACUGCAUGGCUAGAGGAUGAGAGAGGAAAGUGGAAUUGCGAGUGUAGAGGUGAAAUUCGUAGAUAUUCGCAAGAACACCAGUGGCGAAGGCGGCUUUCUGGCUCAUUACUGACGCUAAGGCGCGAAAGCGUGGGGAGCAAA